Molecule: transfer RNA, 71 nt
Filed under: Cavia porcellus (domestic guinea pig)
Lineage: Eukaryota; Metazoa; Chordata; Mammalia; Rodentia; Caviidae
Rfam family: tRNA
About the family: Transfer RNA (tRNA) molecules are approximately 80 nucleotides in length. Their secondary structure includes four short double-helical elements and three loops (D, anti-codon, and T loops).
Source: Rfam by way of RNAcentral
GGGGAUUUAGCUCAGCGGCAUAAGUACCUGCCUUGCAAGCAGGCGGUCAUGAGUUCGAUCCGUAAUACCAA